GACGAACGCUGGCGGCGUGCCUAAUACAUGCAAGUAGAACGCUGAAGGAGGAGCUUGCUCUUCUGGAUGAGUUGCGAACGGGUGAGUAACGCGUAGGUAACCUGCCUGGUAGCGGGGGAUAACUAUUGGAAACGAUAGCUAAUACCGCAUAAUAGUAGAUGUUGCAUGAUAUUUACUUAAAAGGUGCAAUUGCACCACUACCAGAUGGACCUGCGUUGUAUUAGCUAGUUGGUGGGGUAACGGCUCACCAAGGCGACGAUACAUAUCCGACCUGAGAGGGUGAUCGGCCACACUGGGACUGAGACACGGCCCAGACGCCUACGGGAGGCAGCAGUAGGGAAUCUUCGGCAAUGGACGAAAGUCUGACCGAGCAACGCCGCGUGAGUGAAGAAGGUUUUCGGAUCGUAAAGCUCUGUUGUAAGAGAAGAACGAGUGUGAGAGUGGAAAGUUCACACUGUGACGGUAUCUUACCAGAAAGGGACGGCUAACUACGUG
Molecule: ribosomal RNA, 495 nt
Filed under: uncultured bacterium
Lineage: Bacteria
Description: partial 16S ribosomal RNA
Rfam family: Bacterial small subunit ribosomal RNA
Source: RNAcentral